AAGCAUUUAGUCCAAGGUAGAGAGGAUGUUUUGAGGCUUUUGAAACUUUUGGGGGAUAAAUGAGAAAGGAAGAUGGAAAGAAAUGGCAUGCUGUUAUUUCUAAAGGUGGGGCUUUUGAGUCUCACCAAGGAGAUCUGAGAGGAGGCUGGGUCAGCACUUGUUGGCACCAUGCCUGUGCGGCAAUAAUCCCACACUUCCUGAAGGAGGCAGGAAGGGUUUCUCCUGCCUUUGAAGAAUAAGGCGGCUUAUGGGUUUCUGCUGCAGCUUCUUCCUUCUACAGGAGCACUGAUAUUAAAACAGUCCUGCUGAUGGCUGAGGACCCGUUCUGUUAUCUCCACUCACUUGUCACUGCCUCUGCUGCUUGCUCCAAAAGGAUCAAAGAUCCAGUGAGAGACAGGAAAAUAGAGAUGAAGAGUAAGGAGCUGAAGAUCUUUGGACAAUCUCCUGAGUGACAGAGGCAAGUGAAAUUGCCAGUGGGUGGUGCAUGGGCAUCUCUAAUGCUUGCAAAUACAAGCCUAGUGCUGCCCUUGCCCGCUGCAUGUAUUCUAUUUAUACCACAGCAGAGGGAGCGUUGGCAAAGCAUCUAGGAGGAGCAACCUUUUGUUAUACCUAGAGCUGCUCCCUUCUCUAUUAGUGCAACCGACACAAAAAUAAUCACAAUAAUAAGGAUCGUGCGGUUAAUUGAUUCACUGUCUUGUGAUCAUGCUGCAGCCAACUCGGCCACAGCCUGGUUAUUGCAUCUUGUGUCCCUGUGAUUUUCUCACAGGGAAGGAAGCACCUGAAAUACCUCAGGACGUUUAGGAUCCAUUCACCUGGCUGCUUCUCUCAACAGUUCACUCCAUUCUGGCCUUUUUUCCAUGUCUGCUAGAAGGCUGGAUCAAGACGUUGAUUUUUCCUCGUGCUGUUCUCCAGGCUCAGCGCUGAGGGACUAUAUUUGAAAUCAGAGAGUGUGCUGUGUGUUAAGAAAUAGCUCUGGCACUAAAAUGUUUAAAAUUACUCUUUGUUUCCCUGACUUCUCUCCUAAUUUAGAUUAUCCAAAUCCAGAUUCCCCCCAAGACUUGCCCACAAGAUGGAAUUCUAAGAAAAUAUUGUUUUGUUUCAUUUGUUUUUUAAUGUCCACAUUUCUCACAUUUCCUGUUCCAAUUUCAA
Long non-coding RNA from Aquila chrysaetos chrysaetos, 1149 nucleotides. RefSeq lists it as uncharacterized. The transcript has 4 exons. The record is from RefSeq and is a predicted model, not a curated record. NCBI's taxonomy places the organism in Eukaryota, Metazoa, Chordata, Aves, Accipitriformes, Accipitridae.